GCAUCCUUAUGGUAAUGUAUGUCAGUCUUAAUGAGUUAGCCAACUAUUUUAUUUCACUUGUGUAAGUUUCUGUUCUUACUUCUCUUCCCCAUGUUUGGUUUGCUAGCAUUUAGAAGAUUAUGAUGUGGAUUGAUUGAUAUUUGAUGUAAUUUGAUGGGUCUGCUAUGGCUAGCUUAGAAAUAAAACUGUAGGAGAGUGAAAGAGAGAGAGAGAGGAGAGAGAGA
Molecule: unclassified non-coding RNA, 224 nt
Filed under: Hevea brasiliensis (rubber tree)
Lineage: Eukaryota; Viridiplantae; Streptophyta; Magnoliopsida; Malpighiales; Euphorbiaceae
Source: RNAcentral